Molecule: ribosomal RNA, 430 nt
Filed under: uncultured bacterium
Lineage: Bacteria
Description: partial 16S ribosomal RNA
Rfam family: Bacterial small subunit ribosomal RNA
Source: RNAcentral
AACGAACGCUGGCGGCAGGCCUAACACAUGCAAGUCGAGCGCCCUUUCGGGGGAGCGGCGGACGGGUGAGUAACGCGUGGGAAUAUGCCCUUCUCUACGGAAUAGCCUCGGGAAACUGAGAGUAAUACCGUAUACGCCCUGUGGGGGAAAGAUUUAUCGGGGAAGGAUUAGCCCGCGUUGGAUUAGGUAGUUGGUGGGGUAAUGGCCUACCAAGCCGACGAUCCAUAGCUGGUUUGAGAGGAUGAUCAGCCACACUGGGACUGAGACACGGCCCAGACUCCUACGGGAGGCAGCAGUGGGGAAUCUUAGACAAUGGGGGCAACCCUGAUCUAGCCAUGCCGCGUGAGUGAUGAAGGCCUUAGGGUUGUAAAGCUCCUUCAGCUGGGAAGAUAAUGACGGUACCAGCAGAAGAAGCCCCGGCUAACUCCGU